Molecule: long non-coding RNA, 2653 nt
Organism: Prinia subflava (tawny-flanked prinia)
Lineage: Eukaryota; Metazoa; Chordata; Aves; Passeriformes; Cisticolidae
Exons: 2
Source: RefSeq, a predicted model, not a curated record
UUUUUGGCGACCCAGGACGGGACCUUGUGGGCGCAGCCAGGACCCCGCGACCCGAUCACGCUCCAGCCGGCACCGGGUGAUUUCUCGGGGAGCCCAUCGGAGCCGCGACCCUCGCCGCUCACAACGACCCCUGGUGAGAGCUCGGCUCCGAAGUGUUCUCGUGUAGAACAGACCACUGGCCCUGGAGAAUCCAGUCCACAAUAUCGAACCAGGAGAUGAGGUAUACAUCAAAACCUGGAACGAAGAACCACUAAAAGAGAAGUGGACUGGUCCCCAUCAGGUACUGCUAACCACCUUUACAGCAGUCAAAGUGGCUGGAGUGGAACCCUAGAUACACUACACGCGUGUGAAGAAGGUCCCUCGUGGAGUCCAGUCGUGGGCUGUAGAAACUUUUAGACCAACAAAGCUGAGGCUGAAACGUCUGUAACUGUUCAAAUAGUAUUGGUAACUGUGCUCAUGCUCUUCCUGUGGGUAAUGUUAAUUUCAUGGAUACUAAUGUCACCAGUAGGGAUUGCUGUUACUUUGAGAUAUGGGAUACAGAAGGGUCAACUAACAACUCUUCAUUCUAGAAUGAAGAGAGAGAUACAGGCAAAAACACAAGUAAUAGAAAUUUCUAAUGAAAUUCAGGCUGAGAAUGUAAUGAUUAGAUUGGUCAGAGACUUUGCUAAAAUGCAUAAUACCAGCAGAAUAACGGCCUGUCUGCCAAUACCAAAGGCAGCAGGGGACCCAGUAAGCUGGGGAAUAAUAACGUCAAAAUUACCUGAAAUAGGAGAGAACAAAACAAUUAACUGUAAACAAGUACCAGAGUCAAGGGUGGUGGUCAGAGAAUACUAGAAGAUAACAGAAGAUUCCUAUAUGCAGCCCAUGAGAAAGUCAGAGUGCAUUCUUAGUAAUAGCAAAUUGGGACAAAUCAUAGAGUGGUGGGUUAAGGACCAAGACCUUGCAAAAUGGCAAUGUUGGUUUCUACGCUAUCAAAAGAUCAGGGACAACGCUACAGAAAGUGUUGUAGUGUAGAAAUGUGAAGAGAAAGAUUAGAAAGGACUGGAACCUUGGGACAGUGCAUGGUCUGUGAGCAUCCUCCAGAAAUUCCAAUAUAUAGAAAGCACACCCUGGUGCAUUAAAUAGAAAGGCUCUGAAAAUGAGACAGAUCCCACAGUAGCAAAUACUGAUACUAGCAGUCAGAAAGAGGCAAAUAAGGUAAGUUGGUGGGUAUGUAAGAAAAUUUAUGAUUGCACCUCUGACAAUCUAGAAAUGAAACAGUGGUCACCAUUGGCAAUAGCCUUACGAAUUAGUUGUGCCUGCAGGAAAAUUAAACACAAACAAGGCAAAAUAGAUUCUAAGAUUAUAGUAGGAUGUAGCAGGAGUACAAUUCGAAGUCCAGGACCAUUUGUAUGGGCAAUGAGUGAUGGCACAUGGACAACACACUUGCCUAUGGACAGGGAAGUAAGAGAAAUCACCCUGGGCCUUCCCACUUUAUGUCCAAUUUGGAAGAAAUCCCCAUUUAACAAGAGCAGUGAAGCCUUGCAAAUAAAAGCAAAGCGAGACGUCUCAGAAGACAAGAACCCAGAUGACACUUGGAAGGAACCCUCUAGUGGAGUAAAGAUUGGGUAGGCCCUAGAAUCCUUGUUUGGUCCCAUUGCAAAUUAUCGAAAUAGAGAAAUGCUAUAUAGACUCACAGGUCAGGUAGACAGAUUAGCAAGAAUCACACGAGAGGGAUUUAGGGAACUCAAUGUGCAAUUACAGGCCACCACCAAAAUGACCCUGCAAAAUCGUUUGGCUUUAGAUAUGUUACUUUGAAAGAACACGGAGUGUGUGGAUAUUUAAAGGGACAAAUCGACCAUUGCUGCAUCCACAUCCCAAAUGUAACUGCAGAUGUAGAACAUGACAUCAGUCAGUUAAAACAAAUAGAGCAUGAGGCACAAAAGGAACAAAAAGAUUUAGCUACUAGCUGGUUAGGUAAAAUCUUUGAAGGAUUAAGAUGGAAUGUGAGUUCAUGGAUAAAGUCUAUCCUUGAAAAUCUGAUAAUUUUACUGAUUAUAUUUUUAGUAAUUUGGUUAGUUUACAGAAUCCUGAAGAGAGAGAUACAGAAAAAAGCAUCUUAGAACAGGACCAUAAUGAAGGCAUUGGCACGGAACCCAGCACCUUCAAUCCGCAACAACAUCCCGGACAAAGCCUAUGACAACAGAGGAUUUGAAGAUGAACAUCCAGUAUGAACUCUGAAGCCUAAUGGACUGUAUUAAGUGAAAGCAUUUACACUUAGUAUAUUAGAGUGAAAAUACUUUCAAAGAGGGGAAUGUUGGUGGAGGGUUAAAAAAUAUAAUUUCUAGAUUGAGUAAUGUAUAGGGGGAGGAAAGUAGAGAACGUACAACUGGAACUUACGCAGCUAGCUGGGAACAAGCGUCAGUUUCUGUAAACAGCUCCAUGCUAUUGUUUUAACCAAAUCAAGUGUGGAUCAGGGUAGAAGCGUAGGUAUGAUUUAAGAUAGUAACUAAGGAAUAGGAUAAUCAGUAUCUAGGGGUGGGGGUUAGUUAACAUGUGUAUAAUUUAAACUAUAAAAAUCACGAAUCGACUCUGUAUGCUUUGGACAUCAGAUUUGGGUGUAUUAUCACCCCGGUGUCCCGCGCGCUGGAAUAAAGAACCGCAUAUGAUCGCC